GAGUAACACGUGGGCAACCUGCCUCAUAGAGGGGAAUAGCCUCCCGAAAGGGAGAUUAAUACCGCAUAAGAUUGUAGUACCGCAUGAUACAGCAAUUAAAGGAGCAAUCCGCUAUGAGAUGGGCCCGCGGCGCAUUAGCUAGUUGGUGAGGUAAUGGCUCACCAAGGCGACGAUGCGUAGCCGACCUGAGAGGGUGAUCGGCCACAUUGGGACUGAGACACGGCCCAGACUCCUACGGGAGGCAGCAGUGGGGAAUAUUGCACAAUGGGGGAAACCCUGAUGCAGCAACGCCGCGUGAGUGAUGACGGCCUUCGGGUUGUAAAGCUCUGUCUUCAGGGACGAUAA
This 345-nucleotide ribosomal RNA is filed under the name uncultured bacterium. Its description in RNAcentral is "bacterial SSU rRNA". It matches the Rfam family "Bacterial small subunit ribosomal RNA", at positions 108 to 451 of the family's 1533-position model. The record is from RNAcentral.